Molecule: ribosomal RNA, 483 nt
Filed under: uncultured bacterium
Lineage: Bacteria
Description: partial 16S ribosomal RNA
Rfam family: Bacterial small subunit ribosomal RNA
Source: RNAcentral
AUUGAACGCUGGCGGCAGGCCUAACACAUGCAAGUCGAGCGGAUGAAGGGAGCUUGCUCCUGGAUUCAGCGGCGGACGGGUGAGUAAUGCCUAGGAAUCUGCCUGGUAGUGGGGGAUAACGUCCGGAAACGGGCGCUAAUACCGCAUACGUCCUGAGGGAGAAAGUGGGGGAUCUUCGGACCUCACGCUAUCAGAUGAGCCUAGGUCGGAUUAGCUAGUUGGUGGGGCAAAGGCCUACCAAGGCGACGAUCCGUAACUGGUCUGAGAGGAUGAUCAGUCACACUGGAACUGAGACACGGUCCAGACUCCUACGGGAGGCAGCAGUGGGGAAUAUUGGACAAUGGGCGAAAGCCUGAUCCAGCCAUGCCGCGUGUGUGAAGAAGGUCUUCGGAUUGUAAAGCACUUUAAGUUGGGAGGAAGGGCAGUAAGUUAAUACCUUGCUGUUUUGACGUUACCAACAGAAUAAGCACCGGCUAACUUCGU